Molecule: ribosomal RNA, 497 nt
Filed under: uncultured bacterium
Lineage: Bacteria
Description: partial 16S ribosomal RNA
Rfam family: Bacterial small subunit ribosomal RNA
Source: RNAcentral
GAUGAACGCUGGCGGCGUGCCUAAUACAUGCAAGUCGAGCGAACAGACGAGGAGCUUUCUCCUCUGACUUUAUCGGCGGACGGGUGAGUAACACGUGGAUAACCUACCUAUAAGACUGGGAUAACUUCGCGAAACCAUAUCUAAUACCGGAUAACAUGUUGAACCUCAUUGUUCAACAGUUAAAUACGGUCUUUCUGUCACUUAUAGAUUGAUCCGCGCCGCAUUAGCUAGUUGUUAAGGUAACGGCUUACCAACGCAACGAUGCGUAGCCGACCUGAGAGGGUGAUCCGAUAGCCUGGCACAGAGAAACGGUACAGACUCCUGCGGGAGGAAGCAGCAGGGAAUCCUACGCGAUGGGCGAAUGGGGGACGGAGGAAAGCCGGGUGAGUGCAGAAGGUGUUAGGAUCGUAAAAUGAUGUUAUUCGGGAAGAACAAAUGUGUAAGUAACUAUGAACGUAUUGACGGUACCUAAUCAGAAAGCCCCGGCUAACUCCGUG